AGAGUUUGAUCCUGGCUCAGGACGAACGCUGGCGGCGUGCUUAACACAUGCAAGUCGAACGGAAAGGCCCUUCGGGGUACUCGAGUGGCGAACGGGUGAGUAACACGUGGGUGAUCUGCCCUGCACUUUGGGAUAAGCCUGGGAAACUGGGUCUAAUACCGAAUAUGACCAUGCACUUCCUGGUGUGUGGUGGAAAGCUUUUUGCGGUGUGGGAUGGGCCCGCGGCCUAUCAGCUUGUUGGUGGGGUAAUGGCCUACCAAGGCGACGACGGGUAGCCGGCCUGAGAGGGUGACCGGCCACACUGGGACUGAGAUACGGCCCAGACUCCUACGGGAGGCAGCAGUGGGGAAUAUUGCACAAUGGGCGCAAGCCUGAUGCAGCGACGCCGCGUGAGGGAUGACGGCCUUCGGGUUGUAAACCUCUUUCAGCACAGACGAAGCGCAAGUGACGGUAUGUGCAGAAGAAGGACCGGCCAACUACGUGCCAGCAGCCGCGGUAAUACGUAGGGUCCGAGCGUUGUCCGGAAUUACUGGGCGUAAAGAGCUCGUAGGUGGUUUGUCGCGUUGUUCGUGAAAACUCACAGCUUAACUGUGGGCGUGCGGGCGAUACGGGCAGACUUGAGUACUGCAGGGGAGACUGGAAUUCCUGGUGUAGCGGUGGAAUGCGCAGAUAUCAGGAGGAACACCGGUGGCGAAGGCGGGUCUCUGGGCAGUAACUGACGCUGAGGAGCGAAAGCGUGGGGAGCGAACAGGAUUAGAUACCCUGGUAGUCC
This 772-nucleotide ribosomal RNA is filed under the name uncultured bacterium. RNAcentral's name for it is "bacterial SSU rRNA". It matches the Rfam family "Bacterial small subunit ribosomal RNA", at positions 8 to 796 of the family's 1533-position model. The record is from RNAcentral.